ACUUGUGCUACACAAAAUGACACUUUCAAUCAAUGUACAUUUCAAAUUGUUUCAUUACAUGCAACCAGCAUCAAUAUUGUGAAAAUACCAUUUGCCAACAUUAUCACGAUAAAUUUCAUCAGUAAAUCACUGAAAAUGCACAUUUUGAGAGGGGGAAAAAGAACAACGUCAAUUAAACAGUACCUAAAUGUCAGCUGAAACGAUUUCAUAUGCAUGAAAGUGAAAGUAACAU
Molecule: long non-coding RNA, 232 nt
Organism: Hibiscus syriacus
Lineage: Eukaryota; Viridiplantae; Streptophyta; Magnoliopsida; Malvales; Malvaceae
Exons: 2
Source: RefSeq, a predicted model, not a curated record